This 97-nucleotide transfer RNA is filed under the name Setomelanomma holmii. It matches the Rfam family "tRNA". From Rfam's summary of the family: Transfer RNA (tRNA) molecules are approximately 80 nucleotides in length. Their secondary structure includes four short double-helical elements and three loops (D, anti-codon, and T loops). Lineage: Eukaryota; Fungi; Ascomycota; Dothideomycetes; Pleosporales; Phaeosphaeriaceae. The record is from Rfam by way of RNAcentral.
GAUGUCUUGCCAGAGUGGUUAAUGGGUAUGACUCGAACGCCAUGCUACUAGAUAUCAUAUGCCUUCGGGCGCGCAGGUUCGAAUCCUGCAGACAUCG